CUAGCGAGGGUUUUUUUCCAUUCCUCAAAUAGUUGGGUUAAGUGGGCUGAUGCAUUUGGAAGGCGUGAACUUUCUAAGCUCUGAAGGUUGAACUCCAUGAAGAUCAGCUGGAGCUUUUUUAACCAUCACAUGGAUUGUGGGUAAUUAGCAGAAAAAAUAUCAACAUGCACAGAUGCUGAGUGAAUAGCUUCCUCUAUUGAUUGAGGUAUGUUGUCCCCAACUUGAAUUGAAUUCUUGUCGAGAAAGACCUUAAAUCCCAUGUUCUCAAGAUUAUGAAAGAUGAGGCUGGCUACACUUUCCUUCACGUCUGUCCGAAGAAAUGCACUGUAUCUUGGAACCACCAAAGAAUACACAUACUUGUGGGAGCAGAACACAGUUGUGAUUGUUGUAAGCGUACACAGGCCUGAUUCUUUUGAAUGGUAGCAAGAGAGAUAGAGAAAGACAGCACAUUAGAGAUUAUUAUAAGAAUAGAUGGAGCAGAGGGAAAGGCAGAGGAAGUAGCAGCGAGAAAGACAGAGAAAGGGGCAAUACACGUUUGAGAUUAUUGCAACAACGCACAGAGGACUGAGUAUUGUUGGGGCAACGAACGAGUUCAAAUCAGACCAGAGUCUGGAGAAAUAUCUGGAUCUAAUGGUUGUUUGGACGAGUGAUGAUCGACACGAUGGACUGAAGGUUUCUGUUUGUGGUGCAGAGGAUCAAGGAUCCUAGAAGGGUUGGUUGUGUCUACCGUCACAGGAAAACAGGGGAGUUUCUAAGCUGAGGUUAAGAUCUCCUCCGUUGAAGUCCUAGCCGCUGAGCAUUUGCCUGCAGGAGCUUUUGGAGAAUGGUGGUUAACCCAUGUCGAAACCCUAAAUCUGGCAGAAGGGAUGCAACCAUCUGAAAGACCCCAUAUUCUGAUCAGAGGAGAUGCUAUUUGAAGGAUAGAAGGGUUGCUGAGACUGUUUCAGAUCCAGAUGUGCUGCUGUUGCAAGGGUUUCCUGAAAUCUGGUAUUCAUGGCGCUAUCAGGUGAUUGCAUUCCGGCAGAUGCAGGAUUUCAUGCAAUUGCUUCUGACUUCGGAGGCUAUGGACUUUCUGUUCGGCCUUGUGAAAUUGAAAAGGCCGGCGGCUGAUCGGUCUUCUUGAUACCUUUAGUAUACAGAAAGCAUUUGUUGUGGGUAAGGGUUUUGGAGCAAUGGUUGCACUAUCUCGACAUUCUGCACCCUGAUCGACUAAGAGGAAUGGUAAUUAUGGGUGUACCUUAUAUGAAUCCGGAUCUAUUGUCCAUUCGAUGGACAGGCUUCAUCGAGGCUUAUAUAUCAGACAUUGGCAGGAGCCUGGAAGGGGUUUGGCAGAUCUGGGCCUUUUGAUGUAGAAGGGUAAAGAAGGGUAAAGAGACCAUGGACCUCUACGACCCUGCAACUCCAUUAUCUGCUUGGUUUACUGCCUAUCUCUGACUAGCCCAACAACCAUGGAAAUAAUCAGUCUUCUGGGCAUUGCUACAAAAAUCUCAAAGGUGUAUUGCCCCUUUUUCUGCCUUUCUUUCAACCCCAUCUAUUUUCUUGAAAAUUCCAAAUGUGCUCUGCUCGUCUCUGUCUCUGUCUUGCUGCCAUUCAAAAGAAUCUGGUCUGUUUAUGCUUACAAGAAUCCCAAUCCCAACUGUGUACUGCUCUCCUCUGUCUGCCCUUCUUGGCCGGAAAAUAAAAGUAUGCAUGCUUUAUUGGUUCAAAAAAUAUGAUGUAAUCUUAACCAUCGUGUGAGAAAUGUGUAGGAAAAUGUAGCCAACCUUAUCAUUCAUAAUCUUCAGAACAAGGGAUUUAAAGACUUUCUUGACAAGAAUUCAAUUAAAGUUGGGGACAACAUACAUCGAUCAAUAGAAAAAGCUAUUCACUCAGCAUCUAUGCAUGUUGUUAUUUUUUCCGCUAACUAUGCUCAGUCCUUUUGGUGCAUAGAAAGAGCUCAAGCUGUUCCUCAAAAUUGAAGCUCACAUCAUACCAGUAUUUUUGUGGAGUUCAGCCUUCGGAGCUUCAAAUGAGAGAUGAAGAUGGUGUGCAUGCUCAAGCCUUCCAAAUGCAUCAGCACACUGGAAAUUUUGGAAGAAGAGCCCCCAUAAGGUUUCAUAUAUAGAAGGCUUUGCAUUUGUGUUUAAUUUAAAUAUUUUAAUUAUUUGCAGACUUGAAAGGAAGAAAUUGUCCCAUCCAUAAUGUUGAAGAUUGGAACAACUGUAGAAGACAUCCACACAAUGCAUAAAGCAGCAGUUAGGUUCACAGAAUUAUAUGAGAUCUGAGCCUGUUCUUGAAGAUCAGAAUUAGAUAAUAGGGAGCAUACAGCUGGAAUUUUCAGCCUUUCCUGUAAUGUACAUAUAUAAAUCAGUUAUUUCAUAAUAUUCUAGUAUUAUAAAUAUGCGAGCUAUGGUAGUCUAUAUGCCAUGGUUUCCUUCCAACUGAAAAGAUAAUUAUAAAUGUGCAGGCUAUGGUAGCCUAUUAUGCACACAGGAAUGUAUAAAUAAUGACAAAUAAUAAAAUCCAAACAAAUUCCAGAGUUGAAAAGCCAUUUCA
This is a long non-coding RNA of Cryptomeria japonica (Japanese cedar), 2535 nucleotides long. RefSeq lists it as uncharacterized. The transcript has 5 exons. Lineage: Eukaryota; Viridiplantae; Streptophyta; Pinopsida; Cupressales; Cupressaceae. The record is from RefSeq and is a predicted model, not a curated record.